UACGUAGGGGGCAAGCGUUAUCCGGAUUUACUGGGUGUAAAGGGUGCGUAGACGGAUGGACAAGUCUGAUGUGAAAGGCUGGGGCUCAACCCCGGGACUGCAUUGGAAACUGCCCGUCUUGAGUGCCGGAGAGGUAAGCGGAAUUCCUAGUGUAGCGGUGAAAUGCGUAGAUAUUAGGAGGAACACCAGUGGCGAAGGCGGCUUACUGGACGGUAACUGACGUUGAGGCUCGAAAGCGUGGGGAGCAAACAGG
This 253-nucleotide ribosomal RNA is filed under the name Blautia luti. Its description in RNAcentral is "partial 16S ribosomal RNA". It matches the Rfam family "Bacterial small subunit ribosomal RNA", at positions 524 to 776 of the family's 1533-position model. Lineage: Bacteria; Bacillati; Bacillota; Clostridia; Lachnospirales; Lachnospiraceae. The record is from RNAcentral.